UUCUUCGGGGCGGGGUGCGAUUCCCCACCGGCGGUAUAGUCCGCGAGCCUUUGGGUUGAUUUGGUGCAAUUCCAAAACCGACAGUAAAGUCUGGAUGAGAGAAGA
This 105-nucleotide non-coding RNA is filed under the name chicken gut metagenome. RNAcentral describes it as "FMN riboswitch (RFN element)". It matches the Rfam family "FMN riboswitch aptamer (RFN element)". Rfam says of the family: The RFN element is a highly conserved domain that is found frequently in the 5'-untranslated regions of prokaryotic mRNAs that encode for flavin mononucleotide (FMN) biosynthesis and transport proteins. The record is from RNAcentral.